Non-coding RNA from Chaetura pelagica (chimney swift), 849 nucleotides. NCBI's taxonomy places the organism in Eukaryota, Metazoa, Chordata, Aves, Apodiformes, Apodidae. The record is from the annotation of a RefSeq genome assembly.
AUGGUUCCCUGCUGUUUCUUUCUGGUCAUGCUGGCCUGUACGACAUUGGCUCUGGAACAGACCCCAGACAGAGUGGUACGACAAGGCCAAGAUGUAAAUCUGAGCUGUUCCAAGAAGAAAUCCUCCAGCACAGUUCUGUACUGGUACAGGCUGCCCCUGGGGAAGGAUUCCAGGCUGAUCCUAGUGGCUUAUGCAGUUGCAGGUGCUGAUGCAAAUAUUGAGAAGGAUUUCCAAAGCCAUUUCAAGGCCACGAAGAUACAAGGAGAUGGGAUGACCCUCACAGUACAGUAUGUCUUUCUCAACGACUCUGGCAUGUAUUACUGUGCUGAGAGGCCACAGGAGGGAGGAGGAUUGUACUUCGGCAGUGGGACAAAACUCACAGUCUUAGGGAAGGAUGAUGAUAUCAUACCUCCAGUUGUGGCCAUCUUUUCCCCAUCAAAGCAAGAGAUCCAAGAGAAGAGCAAGGCCACACUGGUAUGCCUGGCCUCUGGUUUCUACCCUGAUCAUCUGAAUCUGGUCUGGAAGGUGAAUGAUGCUAGGAGGACAGAAGGGGUGGGAACAGAUGAAUUUUCCACGCAGAAUGGGAGUACCUUCUCAUUGACCAGCCGACUGAGGAUCUCAGCCCAGGAAUGGUUCAACCCUUUGACCCGUUUUGAGUGUGUUGCCAAUUUUUUUAAGAAUGAAACCCUACAAUCAAUACACAAAUUCAUCUAUGGUGAUGCUGGAUGUGCACUCUCAAAAGAGUCCUACUUGUGGUAUGGAAAUUCUCUGAAGCUCACUUACCUCAUUCUCUGUGGCAAAGCCUUGCUCUAUGCAGUUUUGGUGAGCAGUCUGGCAUGGAAAGCCAAG